Molecule: long non-coding RNA, 1247 nt
Organism: Bactrocera oleae (olive fruit fly)
Lineage: Eukaryota; Metazoa; Arthropoda; Insecta; Diptera; Tephritidae
Source: RefSeq, a predicted model, not a curated record
AAAGACUAAUGUGGUUUUAUCCAAUAGCAAUUUAAUAAGUCGCAAUCAUUUCGGUGGCAUUCAAAAGCAAGCAAAGCACGACAUACUCUCUGCUCUACAUCCAAUAUUACGCAUUAAACGCUCUUUCGCAAAAAAUCAUGUCACUAUAUAAUCGACAGACUUCGAAAAGGUGUUUGAUCGUGUACGUGUACAUACGAUAUUGUCACAGCUUGAAAAGUGGAGCCUUGGUCAGAAAACCUUUCACAUCAUAAAGGCCUUCAUGACAAACCGCUCUUUUCGGAGUAAUAAUACUAUCAACAAUCGAUUAUGGACUCCCAAUUUACGGAUGGUGCGAAAACACCAACCUAAACCAAAUAAAUGCCCCAUACCACCAAGAAGUACGCCUUGUAUCAACGAUUCAACAUCUCCUGUCAAAUGCGUCCUAGUGGAGGCCGGAAUACCAUCCAUAAGAGACAGACUACGUAAUGCCACUUAAAAACUCAUUCCACAGCUGGUUAACUCACAAAAUAAAAUCUUAAACACGGUGUGUCAGUUAUUGCAAAACGCUACAAAUCAGUAAGCACGCCACAAAGGCAAAAACAGUCCAAAAAUCCCCGUGAAUGCGACACCAUACUCCACAAAUAUAAUAAAACGAUGUCAACCCUGUCAUUAAUCGAAAAUUAUUAGAGGAUAUUCAGGAUAUUUUCAAUGACAACCCGUUAUUAAACAACAUCAGAAAUUUUCUUAUCAGAUGCUGCAAAAAAAAACGAAGUCAAAAAAGCGAAAUGAUUUCGCCGACUCCGUCGAACGUUCCGCAGGCAAAGCAGCAUACCUAAAUUUCCACACAACCGAACCAAAAAAAUUUGUCAAAUUCCAUUGCUCGCAGUUUAGCUGAAAAAGAGGUAAUAGAGUGGCAGCAGAACCCCCAUCGAUACGUCAAAUUGAAUCUAAAGGGCACAAGGCUACAUACCCAAAAACAACCCCAGUAAUGGCUUGUCAACGAACAGGCCACAGUAAACUGACACAGGACUACCUCUUGAUAGGAACUUCCAAAAAACCAUGUCCCUUCUGCAAAGGAUUAUUAUCCAUAGUACACCUAAUCCACGACUGCAAAAAACUAAAAUCCACGCGAAAAAGAAUCUUCCGGCAAGUUGCUCCAAGAGUUUACUUACAAUCAUCACAAAAACAAAUAUCGAAGUAAUAAACCAAUUUUUCAAGUAACUAGACUUAAGCAAGAAAAGCUAAUUAAAAACAAGAAAAAACGUUAA